Molecule: ribosomal RNA, 241 nt
Filed under: uncultured bacterium
Lineage: Bacteria
Description: partial 16S ribosomal RNA
Rfam family: Bacterial small subunit ribosomal RNA
Source: RNAcentral
CCGGCACGGGUGAGUAACACGUAUGCAAUCCACCUGUAACAGGGGGAUAACCCGGAGAAAUCCGGACUAAUACCCCAUAAUAUGGGCGCUCCGCAUGGAGAGUUCAUUAAAGAGAGCAAUUUUGGUUACAGACGAGCAUGCGCUCCAUUAGCCAGUUGGCGGGGUAACGGCCCACCAAGGCGAUGAUGGAUAGGGGUUCUGAGAGGAAGGUCCCCCACAUUGGAACUGAGACACGGUCCAA